GACGAACGCUGGCGGCGUGCCUAAUACAUGCAAGUUGAGCGCUGAAGGUUGGUACUUGUACCAACUGGAUGAGCAGCGAACGGGUGAGUAACGCGUGGGGAAUCUGCCUUUGAGCGGGGGACAACAUUUGGAAACGAAUGCUAAUACCGCAUAAAAACUUUAAACACAAGUUUUAAGUUUGAAAGAUGCAAUUGCAUCACUCAAAGAUGAUCCCGCGUUGUAUUAGCUAGUUGGUGAGGUAAAGGCUCACCAAGGCGAUGAUACAUAGCCGACCUGAGAGGGUGAUCGGCCACAUUGGGACUGAGACACGGCCCAAACUCCUUCGGGAGGCAGCAGUAGGGAAUCUUCGGCAAUGGGCGAAAGGCUGACCGAGCAACGCCGCGUGAGUGAAGAAGGUUUUCGGAUCGUAAAACUCUGUUGGUAGGGAAGAACGUUGGUGAGAGUGGAAAGCUCAUCAAGUGACGGUAACUACCCAGAAAGGGACGGCUAACUACGUG
This 497-nucleotide ribosomal RNA is filed under the name uncultured bacterium. RNAcentral's name for it is "partial 16S ribosomal RNA". It matches the Rfam family "Bacterial small subunit ribosomal RNA", at positions 28 to 507 of the family's 1533-position model. The record is from RNAcentral.